Molecule: unclassified non-coding RNA, 405 nt
Filed under: soil metagenome
Description: partial contains 5.8S ribosomal RNA, internal transcribed spacer 2, and large subunit ribosomal RNA
Rfam family: 5.8S ribosomal RNA (bases 1-121)
Source: RNAcentral
GAUGAAGAACGUAGCGAAAUGCGAUAAGUAAUGUGAAUUGCAAAAUUCAGUGAAUCAUCGAAUCUUUGAACGCACCUUGCGCCCUUUGGACAUUCCGAAGGGCAUGCCUGUUUGAGUAUCAUGAACACCUCAACUCUCACGGCUUGUCCGUGAUGAGCUUGGACUUUGGGGGUCUUGCCGGCCUGUGGUCGGCUCCUCUCAAAUGGAUCAGCUUGCCAGUGUUUGGUGGCAUCACAGGUGUGAUAACUAUCUGCGCUUGUGGUUUUCCAUCAGAUAACCUUCAGUGAUAUGGAGGUUCGCUGGAGCUCACAAAUGUCUCUCCUUAGUGAGGACAGCUCUUUGAACGUUUGAUCUCAAAUCAGGUAGGACUACCCGCUGAACUUAAGCAUAUCAAUAAGCGGAGGA